RNAcentral lists this ribosomal RNA (471 nucleotides) under uncultured bacterium. RNAcentral's name for it is "bacterial SSU rRNA". It matches the Rfam family "Bacterial small subunit ribosomal RNA", at positions 25 to 518 of the family's 1533-position model. The record is from RNAcentral.
CAGGACGAACGCUGGCGGCGUGCUUAACACAUGCAAGUUGAACGGUAUGACAUGGAAGCUUGCUGAAGUGUCAUAUAGUAGCGGACGGGUGAGUAAUGCAUGAGAAGCUGCCAUUGGGAGGGGGACAACAGUUGGAAACGGCUGCUAAUACCCCGUAUGCCGGAGGGUGAAAGGGAGUAAUCCGCCCGAUGAGGUGCUCAUGUCCUAUCAGCUGGUUGGUGGGGUAACGGCCUACCAAGGCGACGACGGGUAGCCGGCCUGAGAGGGUGAACGGCCACACUGGAACUGAGAUACGGUCCAGACUCCUACGGGAGGCAGCAGUGGGGAAUAUUGGGCAAAUGGGGGCAACCCUGACCCAGCGACGCCGCGUGGGGGAAGACGGCCUUCGGGUUGUAAACCUCUUUUGUACGGGAAGAAGGAAGUGACGGUACUGUACGAAUAAGUCCCGGCUAACUACGUGCCAGCAGCGGC